UGUUAAGUAGUUUAUUAAAACAUUAAAUUGCAAAUUUAAAAAAGGGGAAAAUCCUUUAACAU
This 62-nucleotide transfer RNA is filed under the name Bathysciadiidae sp. MNHN-IM-2013-40843. RNAcentral's name for it is "tRNA-Cys". It matches the Rfam family "tRNA". From Rfam's summary of the family: Transfer RNA (tRNA) molecules are approximately 80 nucleotides in length. Their secondary structure includes four short double-helical elements and three loops (D, anti-codon, and T loops). Lineage: Eukaryota; Metazoa; Mollusca; Gastropoda; Bathysciadiidae. The record is from RNAcentral.